RNAcentral lists this ribosomal RNA (468 nucleotides) under uncultured bacterium. RNAcentral describes it as "partial 16S ribosomal RNA". It matches the Rfam family "Bacterial small subunit ribosomal RNA", at positions 28 to 507 of the family's 1533-position model. The record is from RNAcentral.
GACGAACGCUGGCGGCGUGCUUAACACAUGCAAGUCGAACGGAAAGGCCCUGCUUUUGUGGGGUGCUCGAGUGGCGAACGGGUGAGUAACACGUGAGUAACCUGCCCUUGACUUUGGGAUAACUUCAGGAAACUGGGGCUAAUACCGGAUAGGAGCUCCUGCUGCAUGGUGGGGGUUGGAAAGUUUCGGCGGUUGGGGAUGGGCUCGCGGCUUACCAGCUUGUUGGGGGGGUAGUGGCUUACAAAGGCUUUGACGGGUAGCCGGCCUGAGAGGGUGACCGGCGACAUUGGGACUGAGAUACGGCGCAGACGCCUACGGGAGGCAGCAGUGGGGAGUAUGGCACAAUGGGCGGAAGCCUGAUGCAGCAACGCCGCGUGCGGGAUGACGGCCUUCGGGUUGUAAACCGCUUUCGCCUGUGACGAAGCGUGAGUGACGGUAAUGGGUAAAGAAGCACCGGCUAACUACGUG